This 301-nucleotide ribosomal RNA is filed under the name uncultured bacterium. RNAcentral describes it as "partial 16S ribosomal RNA". It matches the Rfam family "Bacterial small subunit ribosomal RNA", at positions 509 to 809 of the family's 1533-position model. The record is from RNAcentral.
CAGUCGCCGCGGGAAUACGGAGGGUGCAAGCGUUAAUCGGAAUUACUGGGCGUAAAGCGCACGCAGGCGGUCUGACAAGUCAGAUGUGAAAUCCCCGGGCUUAACCUGGGAACUGCAUUUGAAACUGUCAGGCUGGAGUCUUGUAGAGGGGGGUGGAAUUCCAGGUGUAGCGGUGAAAUGCGUAGAGAUCUGGAGGAAUACCGGUGGCGAAGGCGGCCCCCUGGACAAAGACUGACGCUCAGGUGCGAAAGCGUGGGGAGCAAACAGGAUUAGAUACCCCGGUAGUCCCUGUCUCUUAUAU